GACGAACGCUGGCGGCGUGCCUAAUACAUGCAAGUAGAACGCACAGUUUAUACCGUAGCUUGCUACACCAUAGACUGUGAGUUGCGAACGGGUGAGUAACGCGUAGGUAACCUGCCUGGUAGCGGGGGAUAACUAUUGGAAACGAUAGCUAAUACCGCAUAAUAUUAAUUAAUGCAUGAUAAUUGAUUGAAAGAUGCAACUGCAUCACUACCAGAUGGACCUGCGUUGUAUUAGCUAGUAGGUGAGGUAACGGCUCACCUAGGCGACGAUACAUAGCCGACCUAAGAGGGUGAUCGGCCACACUGGGACUGAGACACGGCCCAGACUCCUACGGGAGGCAGCAGUAGGGAAUCUUCGGCAAUGGACGAAAGUCUGACCGAGCAACGCCGCGUGAGUGAAGAAGGUUUUCGGAUCGUAAAGCUCUGUUGUAAGAGAAGAACGGGUGUGAGAGUGGAAAGUUCACACUGUGACGGUAUCUUACCAGAAAGGGACGGCUAACUACGUG
This 505-nucleotide ribosomal RNA is filed under the name uncultured bacterium. Its description in RNAcentral is "partial 16S ribosomal RNA". It matches the Rfam family "Bacterial small subunit ribosomal RNA", at positions 28 to 507 of the family's 1533-position model. The record is from RNAcentral.